AGGGUAUGAUACCGGCUCAGAACGAACGCUGGCGGCGUGGUUUAGGCAUGCAAGUUGAGCGAGAACCUAUCUGAUUGAUCCUUCGGGAGAGAUUGGAUAGGGGAGAGCGGCGAAAGGGUGAGUAAUGCACAGAUAACCUACCCCCGAGUUCGGGACAACCCGCUGAAAGGCAGGCUAAUACCGAAUGUGUUCCGGAAGACCUCGGUUCUCCGGAAUAAAGAUUUAUCGCUCAGGGAGGGGUCUGUGUCCUAUUAGCUUGUUGGUGGGGUAACGGCCUACCAAGGCUUUGAUGGGUAGCCGGCUUGAGAGAGCGACCGGCCACACUGGGACUGAGACACUGCCCAGACUCCUACGUGAGGCUGCAGUCGAGAAUCUUCCGCAAUGGGCGAAAGCCUGACGGAGCGACGCCGCGUGCGGGAUGAAGGCCUUCGGGUUGUAAACCGCUGUCGAACGGGAAGAAAUCUUCGGAUUGACGUUACCGUUGGAGGAAGAUACGGCUAAAUUCGUGCCAGCAGCCGCGGUAAUACGAAUGUGUCAAGCGUUGUUCGGAUUUACUGGGCAUAAAGGGCGCGUAGGUGGGUCGCUAAGUCAGCUGUGAAAUCCCUUGGCUCAACCGAGGAAUUGCAGUUGAUACUGGCGGUCUUGAGUUCGGGAGAGGAGAGUGGAACUCCUGGUGGAGCGGUGGAAUGCGUAGAUAUCAGGGGGAACAACGGAGGCGAAGGCGACUCUCUAGUCCGAUACUGACACUGAGGCGCGAAAGCCAGGGGAGCGAACGGGAUUAGAUACCCCGGUAGUCCUGGCCGUAAACGAUGGGCACUAGGCAGUGGGGGUUCCGAUGCCUUCACUGCCGCAGCAAAUGCGUUAAGUGCCCCGCCUGGGGAGUAUGGUCGCAAGGCUGAAACUCAAGGUAAUUGACGGGGGCUCGCACAAGCGGUGGAGCAUGUUGCUCAAUACGAAGCUACGCGUAGAACCUUACCGAGGUUUGACAUGCAAGUGGUAGUGAACUGAAAGGGGAACGACCCUGCUUUUAGUAGGGAGCUUGCACAGGUGUUGCAUGGCUGUCGUCAGCUCGUGUCGUGAGAUGUUGGGUUAAGUCCCGUAACGAGCGAAACCCUUGUCCUUAGUUGCCAGCGGGUAAUGCCGGGAACUCUAAGGAGACUGCCUCUGCAAGGAGGAGGAAGGUGGGGAUGACGUCAAGUCAGCAUGGCCCUUACGCCUCGGGCUGCAAACGUGCUACAAUGGUCGGUACAAAGGGAUGCGAAGCCGUGAGGUGGAGCCAACCCCAAAAAAACCGGCCCCAGUUCGGAUUGAAGGCUGAAAUUCGCCUUCAUGAAGUUGGAAUCGCUAGUAAACGCCGGUCAGCUACACGGCGUUGAAUGUGUUCCCGAGCCUUGUACACACCGCCCGUCAAGCCAUCCAAGCAGGGGGUGCCCGAAGUCCGUGGUCUAACCCUUCGGGGAAGAAGCGGCCGAAGGCAAAACUUGUGAGGAGGACUAAGUCGUAACAAGGUA
RNAcentral lists this ribosomal RNA (1511 nucleotides) under metagenome. Its description in RNAcentral is "bacterial SSU rRNA". It matches the Rfam family "Bacterial small subunit ribosomal RNA". The record is from RNAcentral.